UUUCCGUAGGUGAACCUGCGGAAGGAUCAUUACAGUGUUCAUGCCCUCACGGGUAGAUCUCCCACCCUUGAAUAUUUAUACCUUAGUUGCUUUGGCAGGCCGUGGAAACACCAUGGGCUCCGGCUUAUGCGUGCCUGCCAGAGGAAACAAACUCUGUUUUUAGUGAUGUCUGAGUACUAUAUAAUAGUUAAAACUUUCAACAACGGAUCUCUUGGUUCUG
This 220-nucleotide unclassified non-coding RNA is filed under the name plant metagenome. RNAcentral's name for it is "partial contains small subunit ribosomal RNA, internal transcribed spacer 1, and 5.8S ribosomal RNA". The record is from RNAcentral.